Molecule: ribosomal RNA, 468 nt
Filed under: uncultured bacterium
Lineage: Bacteria
Description: partial 16S ribosomal RNA
Rfam family: Bacterial small subunit ribosomal RNA
Source: RNAcentral
GACGAACGCUGGCGGCGUGCUUAACGCAUGCAAGUCGAACGGAAAGGCCCUGCUUUUGUGGGGUGCUCGAGUGGCGAACGGGUGAGUAACACGUGAGUAACCUGCCCUUGACUUUGGGAUAACUUCAGGAAACUGGGGCUAAUACCGGAUAGGAGCUCCUGCUGCAUGGUGGGGGUUGGAAAGUUUCGGCGGUUGGGGAUGGACUCGCGGCUUAUCAGCUUGUUGGUGGGGUAGUGGCUUACCAAGGCUUUGACGGGUAGCCGGCCUGAGAGGGUGACCGGCCACAUUGGGACUGAGAUACGGCCCAGACUCCUACGGGAGGCGGCAGUGGGGAAUAUUGCACAAUGGGCGGAAGCCUGAUGCAGCAACGCCGCGUGCGGGAUGACGGCCUUCGGGUUGUAAACCGCUUUCGCCUGUGACGAAGCGUGAGUGACGGUAAUGGGUAAAGAAGCACCGGCUAACUACGUG